AGCAUACGGGAGUUUUUUUCGUUCGGCCUAUUAAGAGCGGGAGUUGAGGGAUCGUGAGAAACGGUGAUGGCCGCUUUAUUCCGGUUGUGUGAGAACGAGAGAGGAAGCGAAGGCAGAGCUGGGUGUGGUUGGGCACUCUCUACAGAGAGCGACGAAGGAAGCUGGGGGGUUCGGUUCUCCUGCAGCUGAGACAUCUCUUAUCUGAGGAUCGAAGGCACCUGGGGCGUUUAUUUUCUGAAGAUCGAAGGCUUGGGUUGGGUCUCCUCUCAGAAUCGGAAGCAAGGCGUUACAGCACCACUAGCAAUGAGCUUGAUGAGUGAACAAUAAAAUUCCACAGUGAAAUUACUGCUCUUUGGUUGGUGUCCUUCCAUCUGGGGUCAUGACAACAUCCAAACCUUGUUCUUUUAUUGAAGGGGAGUGCUAUUUCGUGAAGUUUACGGAUGUGAUUUUUUUCUCUCUUAAGAUUUUUCGGUCUUGUAUAUCAGUAAUCUAUGAACUGCAAAUCUUCUUGAACUAUUGAAUACUGUUCAUAUUUAGCCUUUUGGCAAAUAAAUUCAUUUAGAGGUUAUUUGAUCCAAAAUAAAUGCAUCAUUAGUUAAACUGAUUUCAUUUUUUUACAUUUUAAUCUUUAAUUUUGAUUUUCCAUCUUUAUCAAUUUCUUCUUUACUACUUCGAUUGACACCUUUCUUACCUCUCUUCACCACUUUGGCCUACAAAAUUACUAGGGGCAAGGCUAAUACACCGAAAACUGCUAGUAUGGCCCUCAAACACAGAAAUAUUUGGAAAGGAUUUGUCUGAUAACCUAUGCAAUAGGGAAAUAGGCAUGGUUGGAUGAAAAAAAUGAUUUCAUCCCAAUUUAUCACUUUCAAAUGAAAAUUUUAUUUGUGCCUGUAGAUAAUCUUAUAUGGGAUUCCAUUAAUUCAUUUAUUUAUUUACUUUUGUCUUUCUGUUGCCACAUAGAUGCAUCGAUGGCCCAAACAUCCCAUCAUCUCUUUGAAUUUUAGCUUAAAAUCCACUUGCGGGCAUUGUUGUUUAAUGUCGUUUUUCUUCUAAAGAAGACUUGACAAGCAAUGAGUCUUGUCAGUAUGUCACUUGUCAAUUAUAAUUUUGUUUGUGAUGUCUAAAACCUAGGGCCUCUACCACAUCCCAAUAUGCGUGCUCUACUUGCACCAAUACGCACAGUCAGCUGCAUUCCAAGGAAGCUUUUUCAACCUUUUGCAUAUUGAUCAGAAUAUUACAAAAAAAAUGGGUCUACACCCUCCACUCGAAUGGAACAGGACAAUCACUAGUUAACAUUAAGUUAACACAUUUGAGGGCAUUGAUGCAGUAUUGAUGGUUAUAGGUGAUGAGGUCAGUUAUCACUUUACACAGUGUAAAAUACUGUUACCAUUGGAUUUUAUAUUCUGCCUUUACCUGCAACUCUAAUUUGUUAGUGCAUGGCCAUGCAUUGCUUGCUCAAACUUAUCAUUCCCACUUAGAACGCUGCAGUUCUCCUCGCCUUUUGAUAUUUAGUGGUGUAAGUGUUCACAAUACUAGAUACUGCAGAAAAGGAAAAGGAUGGAGGAGGUUUUGCCUCUAUGUGUAUAUUUUAAACCAGCCAAAGCUUUUUGAAUGCUGAUACAUCUUAUCAUAUCCGUCCAGUCAAGAUCAUGCGUCUCUCUUGCGUGGGCCAAACUGAUUCCUUGUGUUUGGUGUGUAGGCCCCUAGAUUGCUUGAUAGAGACUCCACAUUUUUUCUUCUGUUCUUCAAGUAUUGCUUUGAAUUUGAUUGUAACAAUAAUUCAUUGGCACUGUUUGUUUC
Molecule: long non-coding RNA, 1800 nt
Organism: Dendrobium catenatum
Lineage: Eukaryota; Viridiplantae; Streptophyta; Magnoliopsida; Asparagales; Orchidaceae
Exons: 4
Source: RefSeq, a predicted model, not a curated record